Molecule: long non-coding RNA, 911 nt
Organism: Nannospalax galili (Upper Galilee mountains blind mole rat)
Lineage: Eukaryota; Metazoa; Chordata; Mammalia; Rodentia; Spalacidae
Exons: 4
Source: RefSeq, a predicted model, not a curated record
GUGCCACUGUUUCUUUGAGAAGUUGGAGCCCACUUCUGCUGUCCUCAUUCUGGUGAGGUUCUGGAGUGAAUCUCCCUUCCAGCCCUGAGUGGGAGAAAGAGCUGCUUCAGCUGGCGUGAUUACUGGGUCCUCACAGAACAAGCAGGUGGAGGAGUGUUCGGUGAAAAGGCUAGGCCAGACAAAUGACUGACUUCAUCAGUGCAGGGGUGCAACCUGGUCACACAAGAAACCCCAGGAUGUCAGGGCCCGGAUUUCUGGGGACAGAGGCCAGCACGCAGAAAUAUAAGAAGACUUGACGCUGUUAAGCAAGUUUUAAGCUGAUACAUCAGGAGACACUUCAGGAUGCCGAAGGUUGUCAGGAAUUUUUUAUUUGCUUGUGACAGAAGCCCAACUCAGAAAUAACAAGAGGCCUUCAGUGAUCUGCAGGAGAGGUCUGGGGGCGAAACCAAUUCUACUUCAUCCGGGUCUUCACGGGAGGCUGGCAAGACCUGGACCCCUCUACUGUUUUGCUUAUUGUUGUUUGAGUCGUCUUCAUUUUGAAGUUCCUUGGUAGGCAGACCCCAGUGCCCUCCAGCUAAAAUACCAGAACUCUAAUUUUAUGGAUUGAAUUAAACCUUGAAUUUGACUCUCACUAGUCUAAACUGUAGACCAGGGGAAUGCAGUGCUUCCCCUGGCCAAAUCUGGCUGGGGAGGGCAAUGCUCAGAUUGACUAGGCCUGAGCAGGAGCCCACCUUUGGGAUGACCAGUGGAAACAGUUCCAUCUGAAGAAGAGGAGGGAUGGGGAGGUGGAGUAAAACUGUCAGGCAUGUCUAACCUUUUCACAUUGCAACAUGAUGCUGUCAUCUACAAAGUUCAUGCUGGAGAACCGUGUAAUAGAGUUACCAAGAAUGAAAACAAACAAACCACCACAC